This 291-nucleotide small RNA is filed under the name Arabidopsis thaliana (thale cress). Its description in RNAcentral is "ATSL191470". Lineage: Eukaryota; Viridiplantae; Streptophyta; Magnoliopsida; Brassicales; Brassicaceae. The record is from RNAcentral.
UAGUGUAAAAAUUGAAUCAAUUAAAAGAAGAGAAAUGUAAUGAUGGCUUGUAGAGAGUAUCUCAUAGUUUCUCACUUGAGAAACUUUCUACACUCUCUCUUCUCUUUUUAUUAUUUCUGUUAUUUUAAUAGUGAAAAACUCUCUUGAGAGAUUACCAAUGUAGAUGGUCUAACAAUACAUAGUCUUUGCAAGCCCCAGCGCAAUUGCAAUCAAAUUCACCAUUAUGAUUGUUCAUGGAUGAACCAUCAAAAAGCUUCAUAUCACAACAUCCAAAAAAUCAUCCAUAAAAUA